Molecule: long non-coding RNA, 1408 nt
Filed under: Calidris pugnax (ruff)
Lineage: Eukaryota; Metazoa; Chordata; Aves; Charadriiformes; Scolopacidae
Description: lncRNA (ENSCPUG00000008299.1)
Source: RNAcentral
GGGAGCACAUGUUUUUGUGUUAGCACAGGUUUUUUGUCCCUGCAAAAGACAAGUUAACGUAUGCACCGUUUCGAUUAGUCCAAGUUCAGGAUAAAAAUGGUUUUACUGGUUCAUUUGCUAUAUGUUUGCGAUAUACACAUAACUUGUCGAGGUCCAUCUGGUAAGAGAAAUAAUCCUGUGUCAUUGCAUAAUAUGUGUCUGGGCGUGCAUGUAUUUCUCCGUGCUCCUUCUUUGUCAUGAUUCCAGGGUUUAAUUUAAAUAUGUGUUUCUCUUCUCUCCAUAUUUCAGGUUUAUUACGGAGUAUGAAAAUCAGGAAGCUUUUUGUUCACUUCAUACAUCUCCUCCAACAAAGCCAGGCAUCAGCACCCCGGCACAGACUCCGGAGUGAUUAUUGUUACACAUGAUCUAUGGAGCAGAUAAAUUACAGCUUGAUUUUUAUAAGACAGGAGAAAACCCCCGCGGAACCAGCCAGCACAUGUUUCGUGGCAAGAUCAGGGCCUCAGACACCACAAACUCUUCCUUUUUGGGCUCAAGAUCCUGAGAAGCUGCGGAAAAUUUGGGCAGAAGAUCCUCUCAGCGUUGCACGGGACAGCAGACGUGACCUGCUCGGGGAUGUGGAGACACCUGGCACGGGGUCCUCAGUCUGGUCGGAUGGGAUGGAACAGGUGACCAUCAUGCUCUUGUAUUUUUUAACUUUGGGAAAAAAGGAAAUUUUUCUUUGGGAGUUAUGGGAGCUCUUGGCUGGCUGUAUCAGAAAAGUUUCCUUGGAUCUCUUCCACUUCAUGCCAGGAUAUUGUUCAGUCUAAUGACCAGCUUGAGAGAAAUGUUUCCACUUUCUAGAGUGGAGUGAUUUACUACCUUACCUCUCCCAGCAUUUCCAUAGAGGUGAAUUCCACACAUUUUUAAACCUGUAGUCAGAAUUUGUGCUCCAGGAUCCUUUUAAAGCCAGGCUCAGCGAUACUACGUACCAUUAGCAGUGGAUCCCUCUGAGAAAGGAGAAUGGGAUUUUCCCCCACUGUGAUCAGCACUGUCUUUUCUGCUUUAUUUUCCUUCUGGGCUGUCCUCACCCCUUUGUUUCCUCUCUGGGAUGGCAUCAUUCCUCCCCUCUGAGGCCGAGCUGCCGCGCAGCCUCUGUGCAGCAUCUGAGAGGGUACGAGGCGGUAGUGGAAGUGCUGGAGUGUCCCGGCACUAAUCACAUAUUAUCACCUUACGAUAAUUAUCCAAGCUGAUUCUGAAUGAAUCCUCUUUGGAGAAGGUCCUUGGCCUGCCCUCUGCUUGGCAGAAUGCCCGAGGUGCCACUGGCACGAACACAUGAAGACUGGUGAAAUCCAAAGUGCCGUAUUACGUUGCAGGAAGCAGCCAGCCAGGUGUUACCACCAAGACAUAAUAAAUUCCUGUUGGUACGGCA